Molecule: ribosomal RNA, 256 nt
Filed under: uncultured bacterium
Lineage: Bacteria
Description: partial 16S ribosomal RNA
Rfam family: Bacterial small subunit ribosomal RNA
Source: RNAcentral
UACGGGGGGGGGCAAGCGUUGUUCGGAAUUACUGGGCGUAAAGGGCUCGUAGGCGGCCAACUAAGUCAGACGUGAAAUCCCCUCGGCUUAACCUGGGAACUGCGUCGGAUACUGAUUGGCUUGAAUCCGGGAGAGGGAUGCGGAAUUCCAGGUGUAGCGGUGAAAUGCGUAGAUAUCCGGAAGAACACCGGUGGCGAAGGCGGCCUGCUGGGCUAUGGCUGACACUGAGGCGCGACAGCGUGGGGAGCAAACAGGG